GUCAGACUCAGUGAGUCAGUGCCUCAGACCCUCAGUGAUCAUUAUCAAUUGGUGUCAGAAUUUCCUAUUGUGCAGGGGUCCUCCUCAAGCCAGUCGAACAAGGUUGCGGGACCAAAGACAGUCCUAACCUGUCCGAAAAGGCUUCGGAUUCUGUGACGUCAGUUUGAACAGGAAUUCAAGAUGAAUCCUAUUAUGCCCACGUUUUGAGAGAUGCAGUUAAACAAGGAAUUUAAACAGAGAUUGAUCCUUUGAUGCAACCGAGAGAGAGAAACCCAACCCAGAGAAAGAGCAAAUGUUACAAGGAGUUACAAGGAUUGGGAUGUCGCCAAAGUCUUAUUACUCCAUCCGAGGAGACAUCGUGUGCACUAGAGAGAGAAGCAACCCAACCCAAAGAGAGAGUUUCAAGAGAAUAUUAAAGAGGAACUCUGGUGAUAAAUCACGAGAACGAGGAGAGGCAAGAGGAUCGCCGGUAACCUUCAAAACCCAAAGAAAGAUGUCGGUAAUCCAGGGCAGUUAAUAAAAUGUUCUGGACGCCUCAAAUUUUACACACAAAUUUAAUCCUUUUUUUUUUUUUCAAACCCACUGGCGUAAUGUCCGGUCUGAAGAGUUGUGGAAUAGGCCCACUUAAUUUGGUAUUGUAAAUGCUACUCUUGAUGUAGUGUUAUGUAUUUCUCUUAUGUAAUUCUCUGCAUUUGUAAUGCUACUCUUGUUUAUGUAAUAAAUUACCACACUUU
This is a long non-coding RNA of Macrobrachium nipponense, 734 nucleotides long. RefSeq lists it as uncharacterized. Lineage: Eukaryota; Metazoa; Arthropoda; Malacostraca; Decapoda; Palaemonidae. The transcript is spliced from 3 exons. The record is from RefSeq and is a predicted model, not a curated record.